GACGGGUAGCCGGCCUGAGAGGGCGACCGGCCACACUGGGACUGAGAUACGGCCCAGACUCNUUACGGGAGGCAGCAGUGGGGAAUAUUGCGCAAUGGGCGAAANCCUGACGCAGCGACGCCGCGUGAGGGAUGAAGGCCUUCGGGUUGUAAACCUCUUUCAGCAGGGACGAAGCGAAAGUGNCUGUACCUGCAGAAGAAGCACCGGCUAACUACGUGCCAGCAGCCGCGGUAAUACGUAGGGUGCAAGCGUUGUCCGGAAUUAUUGGGCGUAAAGAGCUCGUAGGCGGUUUGUCGCGUCGGAUGUGAAAACUUGGGGCUCAACCCCAAGCCUGCAUUCGAUACGGGCAAACUAGAGUUCGGUAGGGGAGACUGGAAUUCCU
This 382-nucleotide ribosomal RNA is filed under the name uncultured Actinomycetes bacterium. RNAcentral describes it as "bacterial SSU rRNA". It matches the Rfam family "Bacterial small subunit ribosomal RNA", at positions 278 to 671 of the family's 1533-position model. Lineage: Bacteria; Bacillati; Actinomycetota; Actinomycetes. The record is from RNAcentral.